CCUACGGGAGGCAGCAGUGGGGAAUCUUGCGCCAUGGGCGGAAGCCUGACGCAGCGACGCCGCGUUCGGGACGAAGGCCUUCGGGUCGUAAACCGCUUUCAGCAGGGACGCGACCCUCACGGUGACGGUACCUGCCGAAGAAGCCCCGGCUAACUACGUGCCAGCAGCCGCGGUAAUACGUAGGGGGCGAGCGUUAGCCGGAUUCCUUGGGCGUAAAGCGAGCGUAGGCGGGCUGUUAGGUCGGGGGUCAAAUACCGGGGCUCAACCCCGCUCCGCCCCCGAUACCGGCCUGCUUGAGUCUGGCAGGGGAAGGCGGAAUGCCUAGUGUAGCGGUGGAAUGCGUAGAUAUUGGGAAGAACACCGGCGGCGAAGGCGGCCUUCUGGGCCACGACUGACGCUGAGGCGCGAAAGCUAGGGGAGCGAACAGGAUUAGAUACCCGGGUAGUC
Molecule: ribosomal RNA, 447 nt
Filed under: uncultured bacterium
Lineage: Bacteria
Description: partial 16S ribosomal RNA
Rfam family: Bacterial small subunit ribosomal RNA
Source: RNAcentral